GGCCUCCCUCUGUGGGGCGAUCAAUUGCAGAGCCCCUAUUGAUCACCCUGCAGAGGGAGGCC
RNAcentral lists this microRNA precursor (62 nucleotides) under Myotis brandtii (Brandt's bat). RNAcentral's name for it is "mir-9242 microRNA precursor family". It matches the Rfam family "mir-9242 microRNA precursor family". Lineage: Eukaryota; Metazoa; Chordata; Mammalia; Chiroptera; Vespertilionidae. The record is from Rfam by way of RNAcentral.